UGAAACGAUCCAGGGUAAACCUGAGAAACCCGAAAGGUCGAAGGGAGAAAUUCAUUCGCGUUUCGAUGUUGGCGUGAGGCGGUUGCGCGACGGACGGCGUUCGCGUCGUCCGCACCUUCCGUUUUUCGAUCCGACGUCGAACGCGUGCACUUUUCUCCUGGUAGGACGUCGCGAUCCGUUGGGUGUCGGUCUAAGGCUCGCGGUGGAGCCCGAUCGUCCGGCUUGCCGGUACGGUCGGACCCGUGGUGUCCCGGCCGACCCGCUCGACGGUAUAAGAAAGGCGUGGGGCCGCUUCUCGAAGCGUUCGGCCCGCGGCAAGCGCGUUCGGCGCGUCGGUGAUCGGACCUGGUGCCGGUCCCGACCCCGGAUGACUGUUGGCCGCGGCGCUCUCGAACAGACCUCUUUCGCCGAUCUGCGACGCUAUAGCUUUGGGUACUUUCAGGACCCGUCUUGAA
This 455-nucleotide ribosomal RNA is filed under the name Car condensatus. RNAcentral's name for it is "eukaryotic LSU rRNA". Lineage: Eukaryota; Metazoa; Arthropoda; Insecta; Coleoptera; Caridae. The record is from RNAcentral.